Gossypium hirsutum (cotton) is the source of this 105-nucleotide non-coding RNA. The record is from Rfam. NCBI's taxonomy places the organism in Eukaryota, Viridiplantae, Streptophyta, Magnoliopsida, Malvales, Malvaceae.
AUCUUAUGGUGAGGGCAUCUACGUAUAACUCUUUGAAUCUUUCCCAUGCCUCUUAUAGGUACUAAUCAUCCAUUUUCGAGAAAGUGGUGAUCUUAUUUUGUAGUU